Molecule: long non-coding RNA, 2197 nt
Filed under: Homo sapiens (human)
Lineage: Eukaryota; Metazoa; Chordata; Mammalia; Primates; Hominidae
Description: non-protein coding LINC01117:1
Source: RNAcentral
UUAUUUAAUUUCUCUAAUUUUUGUUACAAAGUAAAGUAACAUCCUACAAAGCAGGUUUUGAUCAUUUCUGGCAGCAAUCAGUUUUCUUCUCUACUUUAAUUCAAGAGUAAAUUUUGUUUUCGAAUGAAUGAAUGUACAUUUGGCACCAGUUGCUGUGUUUUGCUCUAGCCUGAGACUCUAAUGCCUCUAAUUUUUUGUAUUUUUAGUAGAGACGGGGUUUCACCGUUUUAGCCGGGAUGGUCUCGAUCUCCUGACCUCGUGAUCCGCCCGCCUCGGCCUCCACUUUGAUCCCACUAUUUUAUAUAGACUGCAUUUAUAGGCUUGGAAAUCCUGUUCUCUCUAUUAAACUCCUUAGACAGGAUUAUAUUAAUCUUACUUAAAAGAAAAAACUACUUUUCUUGAUUGACAUAAAGGAAUGAAACCCUGGAAGAGGAUAAUUUCUGCAUUCUUUGUUUUUUCUUUUGUCAUCAUUUGAUUUAGAGAUAUUAGACCCCUCUGACUAAUCCAUGAAUUUUAAGUUCUUUGAAAAAGAACUUAAAUUUUCUCUACAGCUUAGAGAACUAAAGCUCUCUUUCCUUCCGUUUUUCCUUCCUUCCUUCCUUCCUUCCUUCCUUCCUUCCUUCCUUUCUUCCUUUUUUCUUCCCUCCCUCCCUUCUUUCCUUCCUUCCUUCCUUCCUUCCUUCCUUCCUUCCUUCCUUCCUUCCUUCCUUCCUUCCUUCCUUCAUGGGGUCCACAGUUUAGUUGGAGAGGCAAGUUUGUAAAAAAAUAACUAUCACCCAGUUUGUUAAGAAGUGGGCAAGGGCUGGAUGCCAUGGUUCAUGUCUGUAAUCCCAGCACUUUUCAGAGGCCAAGGAUGAGGAGGAUCACUUGAGCCCAGAAGUUUGAGACCAGCCUGGGCAACAAAAUGAGACUCCAUCUCUACAAAAAAAUUAUAGGUUUGAUGGUGUAUGUCUGUGGUCCCAAAUACGUGGAAGGCUGAAGCAGGAGGAUCGCUUGAGCCCAGGAGAUCAAGGCUGAAGUGAGUUAUGAUUGCACCACUGCACUCCAGCCUGAACAACAGAGCAAAACUCUGUCUCAGGAGGAGGAGGAGGAGGAGGAGGGGAAAGGGUGGUUUAUUGCAGCAAAAUUUUACAGUUAUGUGAGUUGUAAUGUGCUGACCACACAACUGAGGGAUUCUGCAGUAUCUGCAGAUCCUUAAAUGUCUAAAGCAUCUGCCUGAUGUUGCUGGGAUUUGCUGCCAUGCCUGUUUAGAAACUCUGUUUUGGAGCUCUGGGUCACUACAGACUGCCCAUAGUGCUUACAUUCCAGGGGCCACUUAAAGAGAUUCCACCGAAAGAUUUCUUAGAAGUAACCCUGCCAGCAAAAUUCCAGAUGCCUAUAAAAUCUGUGGCACAGCCUGUGUGCUGGAAAGAGACCACUGGGAUGGAAAUCAGGGGACAGAGCCUUAGUGUUAAUCCUCUGUUAACUCUUCAUGGUCCUGGACCUCAGUUUUCUCAUCUGCAAAAUGACCAGUUUGAACUAGAUAUUCUUUGAGGUAGAUUCCACGUGCAGCGUUUAAAAGUCUUUGCUCAGUCUGUUGUUUCAGUGGGCUCUUCAAGCACCAACAGGGGCCAAUCAGGAAGGUAGGACCUGCCUGAUGUCAACUCAGGGCACGUCCCACAAUAUUUCCAGGUGUCUUCAGGAAUAUGGAGCACCACUGUCACCCCGUGUCACCUGUAAGAUGGGAGAAGGGAACCCAGUCAAUAAAGAUUAUGAGGAGGGCCGGGCACGGAGGCUCACGCCUGUAAUCCCAGCACUUUGGGAGGCCAAGGUGGGCAGAUCACUGGGUCAGGAGUUUGAGACCAGCCUGGCCAAAAUGGUGAAACCUCCAUCUCUACUACAAAUACAAAAAUUAGCUGGGCAUGGUGGUGGGCGCCUGUAAUCCCAGCUACUUGGGAGGCUCGGGAAGGAGAAUUGCUUGAACCUGGGAGGUGGAGGUUGCAGUGAGCAGGAGUUGCAGUGAGCCGAGAUCGUACCAUUGCACUCCAGCAUGGGCAACGAGCAAAACUCCAUCUCAAAAAAAAAAAAAAAAAAAAAAGAGAUGUUGAGGAAACUGUUGCCCAGUUUCAAAUGUCUCCAUUUUUCUCAUUUCCCUGGGUGGAUGGGAAGAAAACCAUAAAUAUGUCUAGGAAGCCAGAAAUAUGAAUUGGUUACAGAU